RNAcentral lists this ribosomal RNA (865 nucleotides) under alpha proteobacterium D21. Its description in RNAcentral is "bacterial SSU rRNA". It matches the Rfam family "Bacterial small subunit ribosomal RNA", at positions 38 to 949 of the family's 1533-position model. Lineage: Bacteria; Pseudomonadati; Pseudomonadota; Alphaproteobacteria. The record is from RNAcentral.
AGAUCGGCGCAGCUACACAUGCAAGUCGAACGGAUCCUUCGGGAUUAGUGGCAGACGGGUGAGUAACGCGUGGGAAGCUACCUUGUGGUAGGGAACAACAGUUGGAAACGACUGCUAAUACCCUAUGAGCCCUAUGGGGGAAAGAUUUAUCGCCAUGAGAUGUGCCCGCGUUAGAUUAGCUAGUUGGUAAGGUAAUGGCUUACCAAGGCGACGAUCUAUAGCUGGUCUGAGAGGAUGAUCAGCCACACUGGGACUGAGACACGGCCCAGACUCCUACGGGAGGCAGCAGUGGGGAAUAUUGGACAAUGGGGGCAACCCUGAUCCAGCCAUGCCGCGUGAGUGAUGACGGCCUUAGGGUUGUAAAGCUCUUUCAGCAGUGAAGAUAAUGACAUUAACUGCAGAAGAAGCCCCGGCUAACUUCGUGCCAGCAGCCGCGGUAAUACGAAGGGGGCUAGCGUUGUUCGGAAUCACUGGGCGUAAAGCGUACGUAGGCGGACUGAUCAGUCAGGGGUGAAAUCCCGGGGCUCAACCCCGGAACUGCCUUUGAUACUGUCAGUCUUGAGAUCGAGAGAGGUGAGUGGAACUCCGAGUGUAGAGGUGAAAUUCGUAGAUAUUCGGAAGAACACCAGUGGCGAAGGCGGCUCACUGGCUCGAUACUGACGCUGAGGUACGAAAGCGUGGAGAGCAAACAGGAUUAGAUACCCUGGUAGUCCACGCCGUAAACGAUGAAUGCUAGUUGUCAGGUAGCUUGCUAUCUGGUGACGCACCUCACGCAUUAAGCAUUCCGCCUGGGGAGUACGGUCGCAAGAUUAUAACUCAGAUGAAUUGACGAGGGCCCGCGCAAGCAGUGGACCAUGUGUUUUAA